GGCUCAAUGGUCUAGACGUAUGAUACACGCUUCGGGGAUUUCGCUUUCCAGUGAUUUCUGACUCACUCACUUGUGUGUGGUCCCGGGUUCAAUUCCCGGUUGAGCCC
Mycena maculata is the source of this 107-nucleotide non-coding RNA. NCBI's taxonomy places the organism in Eukaryota, Fungi, Basidiomycota, Agaricomycetes, Agaricales, Mycenaceae. The record is from the annotation of a GenBank genome assembly.